Molecule: ribosomal RNA, 735 nt
Filed under: uncultured Fusobacterium sp.
Lineage: Bacteria; Fusobacteriati; Fusobacteriota; Fusobacteriia; Fusobacteriales; Fusobacteriaceae
Description: bacterial SSU rRNA
Rfam family: Bacterial small subunit ribosomal RNA
Source: RNAcentral
GAUGAACGCUGACAGAAUGCUUAACACAUGCAAGUCAACUUGAAUUUGGGUUUUUAACUUAGAUUUGGGUGGCGGACGGGUGAGUAACGCGUAAAGAACUUGCCUCACAGCUAGGGACAACAUUUAGAAAUGAAUGCUAAUACCUGAUAUUAUGAUUUUAAGGCAUCUUAGAAUUAUGAAAGCUAUAAGCACUGUGAGAGAGCUUUGCGUCCCAUUAGCUAGUUGGAGAGGUAACGGCUCACCAAGGCGAUGAUGGGUAGCCGGCCUGAGAGGGUGAUCGGCCACAAGGGGACUGAGACACGGCCCUUACUCCUACGGGAGGCGGCAGUGGGGAAUAUUGGACAAUGGACCAAGAGUCUGAUCCAGCAAUUCUGUGUGCACGAUGAAGUUUUUCGGAAUGUAAAGCGCUUUCAGUUGGGAAGAAAGAAAUGACGGUACCAACAGAAGAAGUGACGGCUAAAUACGUGCCAGCAGCCGCGGUAAUACGUAUGUCACGAGCGUUAUCCGGAUUUAUUGGGCGUAAAGCGCGUCUAGGUGGUUAUGUAAGUCUGAUGUGAAAAUGCAGGGCUCAACUCUGUAUUGCGUUGGAAACUGUAUAACUAGAGUACUGGAGAGGUAAGCGGAACUACAAGUGUAGAGGUGAAAUUCGUAGAUAUUUGUAGGAAUGCCGAUGGGGAAGCCAGCUUACUGGACAGAUACUGACGCUGAAGCGCGAAAGCGUGGGUAGCAAACAGG